GCUUCUAUAGCAUAGUGGUAGUGUGUUUGCUUCGUAAGCAAAAGGUCACGAGUUCAAUCCUCGUUGGAAGCU
Molecule: transfer RNA, 72 nt
Organism: Ipomoea nil (Japanese morning glory)
Lineage: Eukaryota; Viridiplantae; Streptophyta; Magnoliopsida; Solanales; Convolvulaceae
Rfam family: tRNA
About the family: Transfer RNA (tRNA) molecules are approximately 80 nucleotides in length. Their secondary structure includes four short double-helical elements and three loops (D, anti-codon, and T loops). Further hydrogen bonds mediate the characteristic L-shaped molecular structure. tRNAs have two regions of fundamental functional importance: the anti-codon, which is responsible for specific mRNA codon recognition, and the 3' end, to which the tRNAs corresponding amino acid is attached (by aminoacyl-tRNA synthetases). tRNAs cope with the degeneracy of the genetic code in two manners: having more than one tRNA (with a specific anti-codon) for a particular amino acid; and 'wobble' base-pairing, i.e. permitting non-standard base-pairing at the 3rd anti-codon position.
Source: Rfam